Long non-coding RNA from Passer domesticus (house sparrow), 240 nucleotides. RefSeq lists it as uncharacterized. The transcript is spliced from 3 exons. NCBI's taxonomy places the organism in Eukaryota, Metazoa, Chordata, Aves, Passeriformes, Passeridae. The record is from RefSeq and is a predicted model, not a curated record.
CCUCACUCCACAGCAAGUUACAGUUGUUGGAUUUCUGCUAUUAUAUCUAUAAACUGCUGCAAGGUGGUGAAAAAACCUUCACUAGGCCUGAGUGAAGCAGAUGUUCUGUUGAUCCUUCUGGAUGAGCUGUUGAUUGCAGGGGCAAAUGGAUCUAGAGCGCUUCCAGUAGUAAUUGCACAGAAGAGGUUAUAAGCAAGCUGAGUUUGAAGGAGGGUCCAGGAAAUCGGCAUCCUAAAGGAG